This 424-nucleotide ribosomal RNA is filed under the name uncultured bacterium. Its description in RNAcentral is "partial 16S ribosomal RNA". It matches the Rfam family "Bacterial small subunit ribosomal RNA", at positions 360 to 776 of the family's 1533-position model. The record is from RNAcentral.
AAUUUUGGACAAUGGGGGAAACCCUGAUCCAGCCAUCCCGCGUGUAUGAUGAAGGCCUUCGGGUUGUAAAGUACUUUUGGCAGAGAAGAAAAGGUAUCCCCUAAUACGGGAUACUGCUGACGGUAUCUGCAGAAUAAGCACCGGCUAACUACGUGCCAGCAGCCGCGGUAAUACGUAGGGUGCAAGCGUUAAUCGGAAUUACUGGGCGUAAAGCGUGUGUAGGCGGUUCGGAAAGAAAGAUGUGAAAUCCCAGGGCUCAACCUUGGAACUGCAUUUUUAACUGCCGAGCUAGAGUAUGUCAGAGGGGGGUAGAAUUCCACGUGUAGCAGUGAAAUGCGUAGAUAUGUGGAGGAAUACCGAUGGCGAAGGCGGCCUUCUGGCCUUUGUCUGACGCUGAGGCACGAAAGCGUGGGUAGCAAACAGG